This 21-nucleotide non-coding RNA is filed under the name Caenorhabditis elegans. Lineage: Eukaryota; Metazoa; Nematoda; Chromadorea; Rhabditida; Rhabditidae. The record is from RNAcentral.
UGAAACAGAUAACAGAAUUUA